Molecule: ribosomal RNA, 451 nt
Filed under: uncultured bacterium
Lineage: Bacteria
Description: partial 16S ribosomal RNA
Rfam family: Bacterial small subunit ribosomal RNA
Source: RNAcentral
GUGGGGAAUAUUGGACAAUGGGGGGAACCCUGAUCCAGCCAUGCCGCGUGUGUGAAGAAGGUCUUCGGAUUGUAAAGCACUUUAAGCGAGGAGGAGGCUCCUUUAGUUAAUACCUAAAGAGAGUGGACGUUACUCGCAGAAUAAGCACCGGCUAACUCUGUGCCAGCAGCCGCGGUAAUACAGAGGGUGCGAGCGUUAAUCGGAUUUACUGGGCGUAAAGCGUGCGUAGGCGGCUUUUUAAGUCGGAUGUGAAAUCCCUGAGCUUAACUUAGGAAUUGCAUUCGAUACUGGAAAGCUAGAGUAUGGGAGAGGAUGGUAGAAUUCCAGGUGUAGCGGUGAAAUGCGUAGAGAUCUGGAGGAAUACCGAUGGCGAAGGCAGCCAUCUGGCCUAAUACUGACGCUGAGGUACGAAAGCAUGGGGAGCAAACAGGAUUAGAAACCCUUGUAGUCC